UGUGACCAUGCCGCCCUAAAUGUGUCCCGUCUUGUCUGAUCUUGGAAGCUAAGCAGAGUUGGGCCUGGUUAGUACUUGGAUGGGAGACUGUCUGGGAAUACACUGGCAGGGAUGAUAA
This 118-nucleotide ribosomal RNA is filed under the name Castor canadensis (American beaver). The record is from RNAcentral. Lineage: Eukaryota; Metazoa; Chordata; Mammalia; Rodentia; Castoridae.